Salvelinus fontinalis (brook trout) is the source of this 6710-nucleotide RNA transcript. It is a transcript of the gene named tectonic-like complex member MKS1, with no coding region annotated. The record is from RefSeq and is a predicted model, not a curated record. NCBI's taxonomy places the organism in Eukaryota, Metazoa, Chordata, Actinopteri, Salmoniformes, Salmonidae. The transcript is spliced from 12 exons.
AACCAGGCAGGUAGGCUGUUGUUACCAUGCAACGAGCAGACGCUUGUGAAAAGUACUAGCUACAAAAUUGGCUAAAUGCCUGUUGCUGUAUACAUAGCGCGCGUGUGUGUAUGUUGCUAACCUAGCUAGUUAGUUAGCCAUUCAUAAAGUUCCUAACGUUACAUCAUGGCAGACGGCUGGAGCACCGACAUCGGAGAGGUUGCCUACCGUUCCCGGGAUGUUGUCAAAAACCUUACAAUUAAGAUCCGUAUUCAGAGAGUCACCUUCGCAGCAGCCCUCUCUCAACACCUUCAGCAGCAGGUUUUUGACUCAACAGGAGAGGGGAGGCAUUGAGCUGGACACCCUCAACUCACAGGCUCAAUCAGCUGGAGAUGGUGAGGAGUUAGUGGUAGGCAGGCAGGAGAAGCUGUUCAGUCAGGAUUCCCAGAGUAUGGUGACGCAGGUCAAGUCCAACCCUACCUUCCUGGCACAUAGGAUGGCCAAUGUCAGACACAGACGACAUGACAGACACCCAGUUGACAGCACCGUCCCCAAGUCCAGGCUGAUUACCUGGGAGCCCUCGAAGGACUUUAUGAAGAUCAGCUACGUGGUCAACACACCUGUACAGACCAUGCACAUCAUGGGGGACCUGGGACCACCAGGCAAACUUGGCCAAAACGAGAAGGAAUGCUUGUUGUGCACGAUAAGAGCAGAUGGAAAUGGAGUGAUUACCAUCAAACCAGACAUAAACAAAGUUGUUUCAUCAGCAAAGGUCAUCUCAAGUCUGAUUUUAUUUGUCACAUGCCGAAUACAACAGGUGUAGUAGACCUUACAGUGAAAUGCUUAUUUACAAGCCCUUAACCAACAAUGCAGUUUAAGAAAAAUAAGUGUUAAGUAAAAAAUAAUUAUUUUGGACCUAGACUUGGUGCUCCGGUACCGCUUGCCGUGCGGUAGCAGAGAGAACAUUCUAUGACUAGGGUGGCUUGAGUCUUUGACAAUUUUUAGGGCCUUAUUCUGACACCACCUGGUAUAGUGGUCCUGGAUGGCAGGAAGCUUGGCCCCGGUGAUGUACUAGGACAUACUCACUACCCUCUGUAGUGCCUUGCAGUCAAAGUCUGAGCAGUUGCCAUACCAGGCAGUGAUUCAACCAGUCAGGAUGCUCUCGAUGGUGAAGCUGUAGAAUUCUUUGAGGAUCGAGGACCCUAGAGGUGCCCCCGUGUUGAGGAUCAGCGUGGCGGAUGUGUUGUUACCUACCCUUACCACCUGGGGGCGACCCGUCAGGAGGUCCAGGAUCCAGUUGCAGAGGGAGGUGUUUAGUCCCAGGGUCCUUAGCUUAGUGAUGAGCUUUGAGGGCACUAUGGUGUUAAACGCUGAGAUGUAGUCAAUGAAUAGCAGUCUCACAUAGGUGCUUAUUUUGUCCAUGUGUGGAGUGCAAUAGAGAUUGCAUCAUCUGUGGAUCUGUUGGGGCGGUAUGCAAAUUGAAGUGGGUCUAGGUUUUCUGGGAUAAUGGUGUUGUGAGCCAUGGCCAGCCUUUCAACGCACUUCAUGGCUACAGAUGUGAGUGCUACGGGUCGGUAGUCAUUUAGGCAGGUUACCUUAGUGUUCUUGGGCACAGGUACUACUAUUACAGACUCCGACAGGGAGAGGUUGAAAAUGUCAGUGAAGACGACUGCCAGUUGGUCAGAGCAUGCUCGGAGUACACGGCCUGGUAAUCUAUCUGGCCCUGCGGCCUUAUGAAUGUUUACCUGUUUAAAGGUCUUACAUAGGCUGCGGAGAGCAUGAUCACACAGUCAUCCGGAACAGCUGAUGCUCUCAUGCAUGUUUCAGUGUUACUUGCCUUGAAGCGAGCAUAGAAGUUAUUUAGCUCGUCUGGUACGCUCGUGUCACUGGGCAGCUCUCGGUUGUGCUUCCCUUUGUAGUCUGUAAUAGUUUGCAAGCCCUGCCACAUCCGACGAGCGUUGGAGCCGGUGUAGUAUGAUUCGAUCUUAGUCCUGUAUUGACACUUUGCCUGUUUGAUGGUUCAUCGGAGGGCAUAGCGGGAUUUCUUAAAAGCUUCCGUGUUAGAGUCCCGCUCCUUGAAAGCGGAAGCUCUACCCUUUAGCUCUGUGCGGAUGUUGCCUGUAAUCCAUGGCUUCUGGUUGGGGUAUAUACGUAUAGUCACUGUGGGGACGACGUCAUUGAUCCACGUAUUGAUGAAGCCAGUGAUUGAUGUGGUGUACUCCUCAAUGCCAUCGGAAGAAUCCCAGGAACAUAUUCCAGUCUGUGCAAGGAAAACAGUUCUGUAGUUUAGCAUCUGCUUCAUCUGACCACUUUUUUAUAGACUGAGUCACUGAUGCUUCCUGCUUUCAUUUUUUCUUGUAAGCAGGAAUCAGGAGGAUAGAAUUAUGGUCAGAUUUGACAAAUGGAGGGCGAGGGAGAGCUUUGUACGCAUCUCUGUGUGGGGAGUAAAGGUGGUCUAGAGUUCGGUUUUUCCCCCCUCUGGUUGCACAUUUAACAUGCUGGUUGAAAUUAGGUCAAACUGAUUUAAGUUUCCCUCCAGUAAUGUCCCCGGCCACUAGGAGCGCUACCUCUGGAUGAGCGUUUUCCUGUUUGCUUAUGGCGGUAUUCAGCUCAGUGAGUGCGGUCUUAGUGCCAGCAUCGGUCUGUGUGUCGACAGCUAUGAAAAAUAUAGAUGGAAACUUUCUAGGUAGAUAGUGUUGUCUGCAGCUUAUCAUGAGAUGCUCAGGCGAGCAAAACCUUGAGACUUCCUUGGAUAUCGUGCACCAGAUGCUGUUCUAUCCUGCCGAUAGUGUAUAACCCGCCAGCUGUAUGUUAUUAAUGACGUCGUUCAGCCACGACUCUGUGAAGCAUAAGAUAUUACAGUUUUUAAGGUCCCGUUGGUAGGAUAUAUGUGCUUUUAGUUCGUCCCAUUUAUUUUCCAGCUAUUGUACGUUGGCUAACAGUGCGGAUGGAAAAGGCAGAUUAGCCAUUCGUCGCCUGAUCCUCACAAGGCACCCCGAUCUCCUUCUGCGAAAUCUACAUAUUUUUUUCCUACGAAUGACAAGGAUGAAGGCCUGUUCAGGUGUCUGGAGUAAAUCCCUCUCGUCUGACUCAUUACAGAAAAAUUCUUUGUCCAAUUCAAGGUGGGUAAUCGCUGUUCUGAUGUCCAGAAGCUCUUUUCGGUCAUAAGAGACGGUAGCAGCAACAUUAUGUACAGAAUAAAUUUCAAACAAUGCGAAAAAACUAACAAAAUAGCAUGGCUGGUUAAGAGCCAAUAAAACGUCAGGCAUCCUCUCUGGCGCCAGUACAACUUUAUAAGUCCAUGUUACGGGGAACAAAGAUAAUUUGUUUUUCUGAAGGGUUUGGUCACAGAUCUGCCAGUUCAGAUCAAAUUCCACAUCUUGUUGCCUGCCUCAGGACUCAAACCAGUGACCUUUCAGUUACUGGACUAAUUCUCUAUCUUCCACCUUCUAACUUAUUUUUUUAUUUCUCAUUUAUUUAACCAGGUAGGCUGGUUGACAACAAGUUCUCAUUUACAACUGCGACCUGGCAUCGGCGUCCUAGGCAAAGUUCCCUUUACACUAUCCCAUGUGCGUGUCUCAUGAUCUGUUAAUGAAGUAGUCCUGCCUGUAAGUUUAAUAUCAGUGUCACCCUCAGCUCAGGAGGGCAUUACAUCUUGGUCUAAUGGUCAAGCCACUGGUUUUUCCCAUGGGAGGCCCGGGUACAGAUCCUGCCCAUGAAAUAUGCACACCUCUCCCAAAGCAAAAUUCCACUACCACCAAUGUAGUGUUUUUUUUGCAAACAGCAAUGGUGUAAUGCCCCUUUUGUCUCAAACCCGGGUCUCCCUGCCCGUAGGCAAACAAAUAUAUUUUAGUGAAUUCAGGAGUUCGCCCCAAACAGGUUUUGAACCUGGGUCCAUCAACUGUCAAGCCAACACCUUAAGUGCUACGCCAAGAUGCCCAAACCUUUCGUUGAGGUCGCUCGGUGUUGGAUUAAGGUUGCUACAUUACCUCCUUCCUUGGGGAGAGCUUGCCCCCACACUUCUUUAUAGCAAGUCUCUCACAUGUACACAUCUUUGAUGGCUUCACAGGCACUAUCCCACUUCUGAUACCAAUGUAACAAAUUUGGGGGUAGCUCCAACUGGGACUUGAACCCCGGUCCAGUGACUAGCAAGCCAACACCUUAUCCAUUACCUCAAGAGAUCAGAAGGUGUUAAGUGUUGGGUUAAGCUUGCUACAAUAUAUACUUAUAUAGGGCAAUGUGUGAUCUGGGUGAGGCAGCAUUGCCACUAGUGCUCCCAACACAGCCAAACACCUUCUUAACCUUACCUAACCUAAAGUCAAAUACAUUUAGACAAACCACCAUGUGAGCAGCAAGUUUAGGGUUAAUGGAGUGAAGUUGGUGAUGGGUAGGACCACCAGUAUGAACUAUAUGUCUAUGAAGGUAUUACAAACGGGAUGGAUGCUCUUCAUCAACACCAUCUUUUCUGUGAAACUAGAUAUCAGCAAUCAAUCAACAAGACUAAUGAAAUGGAGCAAAUGAAGACGUUAGAUCUGCUAAAGUUUCCCCUAGAUACAGAUCUAGGAUCAGCUUCCCCUCCCCAAACCCAACAAGGACCACUAGCGGGGGGAAUUCAAACCUGAUCCAAAGCCAGGGUCUAUUUGGGGAACUUGUCCCAUCCCCCACAACUCUACAUGUGGAUGCGGCUUUCUCCAGCUCACCAUGCUCACAAAGAAAACAGCAGUGCAUUUCAGCUCUCCCGCUCUCCUCAGUCCGAGAAAACACUGAGAGAGAAAGAUCAACAUAAAAGCCUAAAAGACAGCCGUGGUGUCGCUCUUCAUUUCUUGGUUCUCCUGUGGUACAUAAGAAACCCGCUACAAGAACAUGGAUAAAAGCAGGAAUCUCUCGUGCCAAGAUUCAUCAGCUGUUAUACAAAUAUGAUACAAAACACCAGCUGAGUGGCACCGGCUGCAUCAGCAAGCCUGGGAAAGAACUGAAAAAACGCACUAAAGAGUCAAGACAGACACCAGAAAGAGACCCAAGAAGACUUGGACGCAGGGUCAGAGGACAGCGAGGGAUGUUCAGAAAACACUCAGUCCGGUUUGGAGAAUGACUUCUCAACCCAAGAGGCCUAAGAGCAGCUGUGAGAGAGCAUCAGUUUGGAAGCAUUUGGGAAAAUGUAGUGGUAAAGAAGGUUCCCGGCAAAGAGGGUUGCCUGUUAUGGGUCAGAGCCAGCUCUCAAAAAAGAACAUGUAAAGACAAAAAAACCUGGUGCUCAACAAAAUGCAAACAUACAAGGCUCUCCGCAGCCAGUAAAAGGCUAGCAUGCCACGAAGCUGAAGUUCACACAGGUGAAUGGGAGUGUUGUAAAAGACAAAAAGCUUUUUAGACAUAGCUCUAAAAUGCAGGUCCUAGUUGAGCUUGUGGGCUUGUUCUGCUCUUUUUUUCUUUUGUGGUGGAAAACUUAAGUGUGUCGAGCAUAACACGUCAACCCUGUUACCAAUAGAUAAAGGCUAGACAAUUCUUAGCAAUUUUAUUUUUGUCUGAAACUUCCAAUUCAAUGCUAGCUGUGGGAUGGAUCCUGGUUCAAGUCCAGGCUCUGUCGCAGCCGGCUGCGACCUGGAGACCCAUAGAUUGGUGCACAAUUGUCCCAGCGUCAUCCUGGUUAGGGGAGGGUUUUUAUUUAUUUUCGUUUUUUAUUUUUGUUUUUAUUCAUUUGAAUAUGGUCUUUAUAACAGAAGGUAAAAUUAGGUGAACUUUUAGUUAUGAAUAUGAACUGGCAAUAUUCUAGUGGCCAUUCUUCGUUGCAAUAAGCCCAUGAAAUAAUAUCAGUUUUUAUGAUGCUGGUAAAGAUAGUACCUUUACCUAACUUCGCAGUGUAGCCUAUAGGUUAUACACUGUGUGUACAAAAUAAUAAGGACACCUUCCUAAUAUUUAGUUAGCCCAUCCACCCCCUUUUGUCCUCAGAACAGCCUCAAUUUAUCAGGGCAUGGAUUCUACAAGGUGUUGAAAGUGUUCCACAGGGAUGCAGGCCCAUGUUGAUGCCAAUGCUUCCCACAGUUGUCAAGUUGGCUGGAUGUCCUUUGGUUGGUGGAACAUGAGCGUGAAAAACCCUUCAGUGUUGCAGUUCUUGACACAAACCGGUGUGCCUGGCACCUACUACCAUACUCCGUUCAAAGGCAGUUGAAUCUUUUGUUUUGCCCGUUUACCCUCUGAAUGGCACACAUACACUAUCCAUGUCUCCAGGCUUAAAAAUCAUUCUUUAACCUGUCCUGUCCCCUUCAUCUACAAGUGACAUCAAUAAGGGAUCAUAGCUUUCACUUGGAUUCACCUGGUCAGUCUGUCAUGGAAAUAGCAGGUGUCCUUAAUGUUUUACAUUUACAUUUAAGUCAUUUAGCAGACGCUCUUAUCCAGAGCGACUUACAAAUUGGUGCAUUCACCUUAUGACAUCCAGUGGAACAGCCACUUUACAAUAGUGCAUCUAGAUCAUUUUAAGGGGGGGGGGGGGGGCAGAAGGAUUGCUUUAUCCUAGGUAUUCCUUGAAGAGGUGGGGUUUCAGGUGUCUCCGGAAGGUGGUGAUUGACUCCGCUGUCCUGGCGUCGUGAGGGAGUUUGUUCCACCAUUGGGGUGCCAGAGCAGCGAACAGUUUUGACUGGGCUGAGCGGGAACUGUACUUCCUCAGUGGUAGGGAGGCGAGCAGGCCAGAGGUGGAUGAACGCAGUGCCCUUGUUUGGGUGUAGGGCCUGAUCAGA